This 253-nucleotide ribosomal RNA is filed under the name uncultured bacterium. Its description in RNAcentral is "partial 16S ribosomal RNA". It matches the Rfam family "Bacterial small subunit ribosomal RNA", at positions 524 to 776 of the family's 1533-position model. The record is from RNAcentral.
UACGUAGGGUGCAAGCGUUAAUCGGAAUUACUGGGCGUAAAGCGUGCGCAGGCGGUUGUGUGAGACAGAUGUGAAAUCCCCGGGCUUAACCUGGGAAUGGCAUUUGGGACUGCAAGGCUCGAGUGCGGCAGAGGAGACUGGAAUUCCUGGUGUAGCAGUGAAAUGCGUAGAUAUCAGGAGGAACACCGAUGGCGAAGGCAGGUCUCUGGGCUGACACUGACGCUCAUGCACGAAAGCGUGGGGAGCAAACAGG